GAUUCAUACGCCAAAUAAAGAAGGGAGUCAUCAGUUUAAAAAUAUACCAGAACAUCACAUGGUUAUUGGUCUAAUUCAUUUCAAAUCACGCCAAAAUUCCGCUCGAAUUGCCUCUUUGUGGUAUUCUAUUGCCGGAGGUAAAUUUUUGAAACCGGAAGUGGCUCGUGGAGAGCUCAAACGCCGGCGAUACAAAAAGAACAAAAAUAUCAACGAUGAUGGUAUCGACACUUUAUACUCUCUGGUUCGUACAUCUCUCUUUUAUACAUAACUAUAUUGUUGAUUUUUGAAGCAUCCUUGCCAAAAUUGAACCGAUCUAAUGUACUUUUGUCAUAAAUUCACCCGGGUGGAAUCCCAUUUGUCAAAGUACCUCUAGCUCCAGAAGAGGAUUUCCUCUUCGAUAAUUGGAAAUCAGCAACGCGACAAAAUUUCUUGACUGCUCCCAUGGGGCGUGAUUUGCUGAGCCAAUGGCAAGCUUUAGAGGUAUUCAUUAGGAAAGUGACUCAAGUCAUCGAUGCAGUAGACAUAGAAACAGGGACUUAUGGACAGCUUUCAAGAAACCUACUGGUACGGGAUUUAAAGCGCAAACGGGAUCCUUCGUUUGGAAAUGUAGAUUGGCUAGAUGAAAAAUAUAAGAUACCGGAAUAUUUUUGGAAAACGGUCUCCUUGCAAUUUUUUUCCAACAAGCGACAGUACAAUUAUGGAAUCUUGUUCGUAAUGCACAAUGUGGUCAAGCUGGAUUCUAAUACGGGAUGGGAUAUUGAGAAAAUCUGCUCGGAUUAUGAUAUCGUUAAUUUAGGAUGGGAAUUUUCACAAGAUAACCAACCUCAGAGUACCAUCUACGGUUGCAAGUACAGUGAAAUUUCAUAUUUCGACGCAAUGAUUGAUGAGGAAGAAGAGUUCAAAGAUUUUAAUUUAAACUCGCUGUCUGUUUUGCAAUUUGAUGAUGAUGGUAAUGCCGAAGUCAAAGAAGUAAAUGUUGUGGAGGAAAUUGGAAAGUUGGCGAUGACUGAGCACUAAGAUUUUUCUGAAUGAUGAUUCGAUUAUUGGAACUUUUCAUUUUAUCGAUCCUCUUUCUCACAAACUCUAAUUUUUCGCUCCUAUAGUGGGCUUUAGCCUUUUAUUUUGUAUGAAUUUUUUGUGUUAUUUUCCGAUGUGAAUUGUCUUUUAAUGUUCGAGAAG
Long non-coding RNA from Planococcus citri (citrus mealybug), 1179 nucleotides. RefSeq lists it as uncharacterized. The record is from RefSeq and is a predicted model, not a curated record. Lineage: Eukaryota; Metazoa; Arthropoda; Insecta; Hemiptera; Pseudococcidae. The transcript is spliced from 3 exons.